AACGCACCUUGCGCUCCUUGGUAUUCCGAGGAGCAUGCCUGUUUGAGUGUCAUGAAACUCUCAAACCCAAGUUUUGGAUUUCGAUCCAUGCUUGAGUUUGGAUUUGGAUGUUUGCCGGUGAUAAGCCGACUCAUCUUAAAAGUAUUAGCUAGAUCUGUCUCUAUGACUGGUUUGACUUGGCAUAAUAAGUAUUUUGCUGAGGACAUCUUCGGAUGGCCAGGACCUAGACUAUUGUCUGCUAACUAAACCAUCACCUUAAGUGCAUCUUCGGAUGUUACUCAUUGUGUAACUUUGACAUCUGGCCUCAAAUCAGGUAGGACUACCCGCUGAACUUAA
RNAcentral lists this unclassified non-coding RNA (336 nucleotides) under uncultured Filobasidium. RNAcentral describes it as "sequence contains ITS2". The stretch from base 1 to 52 matches the Rfam family "5.8S ribosomal RNA", at positions 103 to 154 of the family's 154-position model. The record is from RNAcentral. Lineage: Eukaryota; Fungi; Basidiomycota; Tremellomycetes; Filobasidiales; Filobasidiaceae.